ACUGACGGAGCCAGCGAGUUUACCUUGGCCGAGAGGCUUCUGGGGAAUCUUGUGAAACUCCGUCGUGCUGGGGAUAGAGCAUUGCAAUUAUUGCUCUUCAAC
This 102-nucleotide non-coding RNA is filed under the name Lipomyces starkeyi NRRL Y-11557. RNAcentral describes it as "Eukaryotic small subunit ribosomal RNA". It matches the Rfam family "Eukaryotic small subunit ribosomal RNA", at positions 1502 to 1604 of the family's 1831-position model. The record is from Rfam by way of RNAcentral. Lineage: Eukaryota; Fungi; Ascomycota; Lipomycetes; Lipomycetales; Lipomycetaceae.